This 558-nucleotide ribosomal RNA is filed under the name Triticum aestivum (bread wheat). RNAcentral describes it as "partial small subunit ribosomal RNA". Lineage: Eukaryota; Viridiplantae; Streptophyta; Magnoliopsida; Poales; Poaceae. The record is from RNAcentral.
AUGCAUCUUGGUGAGCGUAGGAAAAUUUUAAAUUAUGCUACGAUUCCCAACACUCCAACCUCUAUACAAUGUGAUAAUGGUCGUGAAUUUGAUAAUGUUAAAAAUCGUACAUUCUUUCUUAACCACGGCAUUCUUCUCCGUUUUUUUUGUCCCUACACUUCUCCUCAAAACGGAAAAGCUGAACGUUCUCUUCGUACUAUAAAUGAUAUUAUUCGUACCCUUCUUCUUCAAUCUUCCAUGCCUUCCCAAUACCGGGCUGAGGCUCUCCACACCGCUACAUAUCUUCUCAAUAUCCGUCCUGCCAAAGCCAAUCCCAACAUCACCCCCUACUUUUCUCUGUUUCUGUGUCAUCCAAACUACUCCGACAUUCGUGUUUUCGGUUGCCUCUGUUUUCCUAACACUUCCGCUACCACCGCUCAUAAGCUCUCUCCCCGCUCUGUCCCGUGUGUUCUCCUUGGUUUUUCGAAUGAACACAAAGGCUAUCGCUGCCUUGAUUUAUACACUGGCCGGGUUCUUGUAUCUCGGCAUGUCACCUUUGCUGAACACAUCUUUCCAUUU